CAAAAACAAACCAUUAGCUUCAAAUAAUUUUAAUUCUUUCAUCAACUUCCGUAAUUACAAUAACUCACAGAUAUCUUGAUCCAUUGCCCUGAAUUCGGCUUCUGUACUGGAUCUAGCUGUCACAUUUUGCUUCUUACUUCUCCAGGUGACUAGAUUACCACCAACAAAGGUACAGUAUCAUGAUGUUGAUCUCCUAUCAUCAAG
This 204-nucleotide unclassified non-coding RNA is filed under the name Hevea brasiliensis (rubber tree). Lineage: Eukaryota; Viridiplantae; Streptophyta; Magnoliopsida; Malpighiales; Euphorbiaceae. The record is from RNAcentral.